RNAcentral lists this ribosomal RNA (498 nucleotides) under uncultured bacterium. Its description in RNAcentral is "partial 16S ribosomal RNA". It matches the Rfam family "Bacterial small subunit ribosomal RNA", at positions 899 to 1397 of the family's 1533-position model. The record is from RNAcentral.
ACUCAAAUGAAUAGACGGGGGCCCGCACAAGCGGUGGAGCAUGUGGUUUAAUUCGACGCAACGCGAAGAACCUUACCCAGACUUGACAUGCAUUCGACCGGUGUGGAAACACACCUUUCCUUCGGGACGGAUGCACAGGUGCUGCAUGGCUGUCGUCAGCUCGUGUCGUGAGAUGUUGGGUUAAGUCCCGCAACGAGCGCAACCCUUGUCCUUAGUUGCUAACGGGUAAUGCCGAGCACUCUAAGGAGACUGCCGGUGAUAAACCGGAGGAAGGUGGGGAUGACGUCAAGUCCUCAUGGCCCUUACGUCUGGGGCUACACACGUGCUACAAUGGCCGGUACAGAGGGUUCCGAUACCGCGAGGUGGAGGUAAUCCCAAAAAACCGGUCUCAGUUCGGAUUGCAGUCUGCAACUCGACUGCAUGAAGUCGGAAUCGCUAGUAAUCGCUGAUCAGCAGGCAGCGGUGAAUACGUUCCCGGGCCUUGUACACACCGCCCGU